RNAcentral lists this long non-coding RNA (207 nucleotides) under Sorghum bicolor (sorghum). RNAcentral's name for it is "long non-coding RNA (SBIC_LNC017184)". The record is from RNAcentral. Lineage: Eukaryota; Viridiplantae; Streptophyta; Magnoliopsida; Poales; Poaceae.
GGGGGGGGGAAGCCGGCCCAAGAGGAAGAGUGAAGCUCUUUUUUUUUCUCUCUUUUUUUUUAACAGACUUUUCUGAUAUUUAUUUUCUUUCUUCCACAACAAAACAAGCACCAACAAAUAAAAUAAAAACAAGCAAAAAUAGUGCAGCAGCAUGAAUAAAAAAAUCAAACACGUCUCUACCUUAUAUUUAAUUCUAUUUCUUUUUGU